This 225-nucleotide long non-coding RNA is filed under the name Volvox carteri. Its description in RNAcentral is "long non-coding RNA (VCAR_LNC004004)". The record is from RNAcentral. Lineage: Eukaryota; Viridiplantae; Chlorophyta; Chlorophyceae; Chlamydomonadales; Volvocaceae.
UGCGGCUGUGGCUGCAGCUGUGCCUGCGGCUGGGGUUGCUGUUGCUGUUGGGUUUCCACUGCUCUUGCAGCUUCGAGCCAGGCCGGGUUGAUAGCGCCAUGUAGCGUCUUAAGGGCUGCCAGGGUCGCUGAUCUGUCCCGCGUGGGUGCUGGGGUUGAUGGGUCGAGGUGUGUCCUGACCCAUUCGGGCCAGGUCGACCUGGGGAGGGAGGCCACUCGAGUAUGC